Molecule: ribosomal RNA, 497 nt
Filed under: uncultured bacterium
Lineage: Bacteria
Description: partial 16S ribosomal RNA
Rfam family: Bacterial small subunit ribosomal RNA
Source: RNAcentral
GAUGAACGCUGGCGGCGUGCCUAAUACAUGCAAGUCGAGCGAACAGACGAGGAGCUUGCUCCUCUGACGUUAGCGGCGGACGGGUGAGUAACACGUGGAUAACCUACCUAUAAGACUGGGAUAACUUCGGGAAACCGGCGCUAAUCCCGGAUAAUAUAUUGAACCGCAUGGUUCAAUAGUGAAAGACGGUUUUGCUGUCACUUCUAGAUGGAUCCGCGCCGGAUUAGCUAGUUGGUAAGGUAACGGCUUACCAAGGCAACGAUGCGUAGCCGACCUGAGGGGGUGAUCGGCCACAUGGGAACGGAGACACGGUCCAGACUCCUACGGGAGGCAGCAGUAGGGAAUCUUCCGCAAUGGGCGAAAGCCUGACGGAGCAACGCCGCGUGAGUUAUGAAGGUCUUCGGAUCGUAAAACUCGGUUAUUAGGGAAGAACAAAUGUGUAAGUAACUAUGCACGUCUUGACGGUACCUAAUCAGAAAGCCACGGCUAACUACGUG